GAUGAACGCUGGCGGCGUGCCUAAUACAUGCAAGUCGAGCGAACAGACGAGGAGCUUGCUCCUCUGACGUUAGCGGCGGACGGGUGAGUAACACGUGGAUAACCUACCUAUAAGACUGGGAUAACUUCGGGAAACCGGAGCUAAUACCGGAUAAUAUAUUGAACCGCAUGGUUCAAUAGUGAAAGACGGUUUUGCUGUCACUUAUAGAUGGAUCCGCGCCGCAUUAGCUAGUUGGUAAGGUAACGGCUUACCAAGGCGACGAUGCGUAGCCGACCUGAGAGGGUGAUCGGCCACACUGGAACUGAGACACGGUCCAGACUCCUACGGGAGGCAGCAGUAGGGAAUCUUCUGCAAUGGGCGAAAGCCUGACGGAGCAACGCCGCGUGAGUGAUGAAGGUCUUCGGAUCGUAAACCUCUGUUAUUAGGGAAGAACAAAUGUGUAAGUAACUAUGCACGUCUUGACGGUACCUAAUCAGAAAGCCACGGCUAACUACGUG
This 497-nucleotide ribosomal RNA is filed under the name uncultured bacterium. RNAcentral describes it as "partial 16S ribosomal RNA". It matches the Rfam family "Bacterial small subunit ribosomal RNA", at positions 28 to 507 of the family's 1533-position model. The record is from RNAcentral.